Molecule: ribosomal RNA, 721 nt
Filed under: uncultured bacterium
Lineage: Bacteria
Description: bacterial SSU rRNA
Rfam family: Bacterial small subunit ribosomal RNA
Source: RNAcentral
GGUAGUCCACGCCCUAAACGAUGUCAACUAGCUGUUGGGGCCUUCGGGCCUUGGUAGCGCAGCUAACGCGUGAAGUUGACCGCCUGGGGAGUACGGUCGCAAGAUUAAAACUCAAAGGAAUUGACGGGGACCCGCACAAGCGGUGGAUGAUGUGGAUUAAUUCGAUGCAACGCGAAAAACCUUACCUACCCUUGACAUGUCUGGAAUCCCAAAGAGAUUAGGGAGUGCUCGCAAGAGAACCGGAACACAGGUGCUGCAUGGCUGUCGUCAGCUCGUGUCGUGAGAUGUUGGGUUAAGUCCCGCAACGAGCGCAACCCUUGUCAUUAGUUGCUACGAAAGGGCACUCUAAUGAGACUGCCGGUGACAAACCGGAGGAAGGUGGGGAUGACGUCAAGUCCUCAUGGCCCUUAUGGGUAGGGCUUCACACGUCAUACAAUGGUCGGGACAGAGGGUCGCCAACCCGCGAGGGGGAGCCAAUCCCAGAAACCCGAUCGUAGUCCGGAUCGUAGUCUGCAACUCGACUACGUGAAGUCGGAAUCGCUAGUAAUCGCGGAUCAGAAUGUCGCGGUGAAUACGUUCCCGGGUCUUGUACACACCGCCCGUCACACCAUGGGAGUGGGUUCCACCAGAAGUAGUUAGCCUAACCGCAAGGAGGGCGAUUACCACGGUGGGGUUCAUGACUGGGGUGAAGUCGUAACAAGGUAGCCGUAUCGGAAGGUGC